CCUUCGAUAGCUCAGCUGGUAGAGCGGAGGACUGUAGCUGUUCCUUAGCAAGAGAGAUCCUUAGGUCGCUGGUUCGAUUCCGGCUCGAAGGA
Molecule: transfer RNA, 92 nt
Filed under: Ictidomys tridecemlineatus (thirteen-lined ground squirrel)
Lineage: Eukaryota; Metazoa; Chordata; Mammalia; Rodentia; Sciuridae
Description: Spermophilus tridecemlineatus (thirteen-lined ground squirrel) tRNA
Rfam family: tRNA
About the family: Transfer RNA (tRNA) molecules are approximately 80 nucleotides in length. Their secondary structure includes four short double-helical elements and three loops (D, anti-codon, and T loops). Further hydrogen bonds mediate the characteristic L-shaped molecular structure. tRNAs have two regions of fundamental functional importance: the anti-codon, which is responsible for specific mRNA codon recognition, and the 3' end, to which the tRNAs corresponding amino acid is attached (by aminoacyl-tRNA synthetases). tRNAs cope with the degeneracy of the genetic code in two manners: having more than one tRNA (with a specific anti-codon) for a particular amino acid; and 'wobble' base-pairing, i.e. permitting non-standard base-pairing at the 3rd anti-codon position.
Source: Rfam by way of RNAcentral